AUGCAAGUCGAGGGGCAGCAGGUCUGUAGCAAUACAGAUGCUGGCGACCGGCAAACGGGUGCGGAACACGUACAGAACCUUCCUUCGAGCGGGGAAUAGCCCAGAGAAAUUUGGAUUAAUACCCCAUAGUAUACUGAAGAGGCAUCUCUUUAGUAUUAAAGAUUUAUCACUUGAAGAUGGCUGUGCGGCUGAUUAGGUAGUUGGCGGGGUAAAGGCCCACCAAGCCUGCGAUCAGUAACUAGUGUGAGAGCACGACCAGUCACACGGGCACUGAGACACGGGCCCGACUCCUACGGGAGGCAGCAGUAAGGAAUAUUGGUCAAUGGACGAAAGUCUGAACCAGCCAUGCCGCGUGAAGGAUGAAGGUCCUCUGGAUUGUAAACUUCUUUUAUAUGGGACGAAAAAAGGGUUUUCUAACUCAACUGACGGUACCAUAUGAAUAAGCACCGGCUAACUCCGUGCCAGCAGCCGCGGUAAUACGGAGGGUGCAAGCGUUAUCCGGAUUCACUGGGUUUAAAGGGUGCGUAGGUGGGUUGGUAAGUCAGUGGUGAAAUCCCCGAGCUUAACUCGGGAACUGCCAUUGAUACUAUCAGUCUUGAAUACCGUGGAGGUCAGCAGAAUAUGUCAUGUA
This 631-nucleotide ribosomal RNA is filed under the name uncultured Terrimonas sp. RNAcentral's name for it is "bacterial SSU rRNA". It matches the Rfam family "Bacterial small subunit ribosomal RNA", at positions 55 to 677 of the family's 1533-position model. Lineage: Bacteria; Pseudomonadati; Bacteroidota; Chitinophagia; Chitinophagales; Chitinophagaceae. The record is from RNAcentral.